This is a small nucleolar RNA of Ochotona curzoniae (black-lipped pika), 77 nucleotides long. RefSeq annotates it as small nucleolar RNA SNORD74. The record is from RefSeq and is a predicted model, not a curated record. The transcript has a single exon. Lineage: Eukaryota; Metazoa; Chordata; Mammalia; Lagomorpha; Ochotonidae.
UUGUGUCUAUGAUGAAACCUGGUGUUCUAGAGACAUCUGAAAGUGCUGAUGAAUGCUAGCAGCUUUGGUGGAAGAAA